Molecule: non-coding RNA, 125 nt
Organism: Triticum aestivum (bread wheat)
Lineage: Eukaryota; Viridiplantae; Streptophyta; Magnoliopsida; Poales; Poaceae
Source: Rfam
GAUAUACUCCCUCUGUUCGGAAAUACUUUUCGAAGAAAUGGAUGUACCUAAACGUAUUUUAAUUUUAGAUACAUUCAUUUUUCUUCAUUUCUCCAACGAGAAUUUUCGGACGGAGGGAGUAUAUG